UUGAACGCUGGCGGCAGGCCUAACACAUGCAAGUCGAGCGGACGUAGCAAUACGUUAGCGGCGGACGGGUGAGGAAUGUAUCGGAACGUGCCCAGUCAUGGGGGAUAACACAGGGAAACUUGUGCUAAUACCGCAUACGCCCUGAGGGGGAAAGUGGGGGACCGCAAGGCCUCACGUGAUUGGAGCGGCCGAUACCCGAUUAGCUAGUUGGUGAGGUAAAGGCUCACCAAGGCUACGAUCGGUAGCUGGUCUUAGAGGACGAUCAGCCACACUGGAACUGAGACACGGUCCAGACUCCUACGGGAGGCAGCAGUGGGGAAUAUUGGACAAUGGGGGCAACCCUGAUCCAGCCAUGCCGCGUGAGUGAAGAAGGCCUUCGGGUUGUAAAGCUCUUUGAGCGGGGAGGAAGGUUCGAUGGUUAAUAGUCAUCGGAAUUGACGUUACCUGCAGAACAAGCACCGGCUAACUCUGU
Molecule: ribosomal RNA, 472 nt
Filed under: uncultured bacterium
Lineage: Bacteria
Description: bacterial SSU rRNA
Rfam family: Bacterial small subunit ribosomal RNA
Source: RNAcentral